This 433-nucleotide ribosomal RNA is filed under the name uncultured bacterium. RNAcentral describes it as "partial 16S ribosomal RNA". It matches the Rfam family "Bacterial small subunit ribosomal RNA", at positions 29 to 507 of the family's 1533-position model. The record is from RNAcentral.
AACGAACGCUGGCGGCAUGCCUAACACAUGCAAGUCGAACGAAGCCUUCGGGCUUAGUGGCGCACGGGUGCGUAACGCGUGGGAAUCUGCCCCUUGCUUCGGAAUAACAGUUAGAAAUGACUGCUAAUACCGGAUGAAGUCUUCGGACCAAAGAUUUAUCGGCAAGGGAUGAGCCCGCGUAGGAUUAGGUAGUUGGUGGGGUAAAGGCCUACCAAGCCGACGAUCCUUAGCUGGUCUGAGAGGAUGAUCAGCCACACUGGGACUGAGACACGGCCCAGACUCCUACGGGAGGCAGCAGUGGGGAAUAUUGGAAAAUGGACGAAAGGCUGAUCCAGCAAUGCCGCGUGAGUGAUGAAGGCAUUAGGGUUGUAAAGCUCUUUUACAAGGGAUGAUAAUGACAGUACCUGGAGAAUAAGCACCGGCUAACUCCGUG